RNAcentral lists this ribosomal RNA (955 nucleotides) under Ectomocoris sp. CW-2009. RNAcentral describes it as "SSU rRNA". It matches the Rfam family "Eukaryotic small subunit ribosomal RNA", at positions 425 to 1293 of the family's 1831-position model. Lineage: Eukaryota; Metazoa; Arthropoda; Insecta; Hemiptera; Reduviidae. The record is from RNAcentral.
GCAGCAGGCACGCAAAUUACCCACUCCCGGCACGGGGAGGUAGUGACAAAAAAUAACGAUACGGGACUCUAUUGAGGCCCCGUAAUCGGAAUGAGUACACUUUAAAUCCUUUAACAAGGAUCCAUUGGAGGGCAAGUCUGGUGCCAGCAGCCGCGGUAAUUCCAGCUCCAAUAGCGUAUAUUAAAGUUGUUGCGGUUAAAAAGCUCGUAGUUGGUUCUGCGUGCCGCGCUGUCGGUUCGCCGCCUGUCGGUGUAACUGGCAUGUCGCGGCAUGUCCUGUCGGUGGUGAACGGGAUCCCCGGUGCUGUUUAGGCUUAAUUGCCGAAGCAUGCACCGUGUGUUUUUCCGUUUGCCGAUCUCUCCUACUCCGGUGCUCUUAAACGAGUGUCGAGGUAGGCCGACACGUUCACUUUGAACAAAUUAGAGUGCUUAAAGCAGGCUGAAAUAUCUGCCUGAAUAGUGGUGCAUGGAAUGAUAAAACAGGACCUCGGUUCUAUUUUGUUGGUUUUAGGAAUAUGAGGUAAUGAUCAAUGUGGACUGGCGGGGGCAUUCGUAUUGCGACGUUAGAGGUGAAAUUCUUGGAUCGUCGCAAGACGCACUAGAGCGAAAGCAUUUGCCAAGUAUGUCUUAAUUGAUCAAGAACGAAAGUUAGAGGUUCGAAGGCGAUCAGAUACCGCCCUAGUUCUAACCAUAAACGAUGCCAGCCAGCGAUCCGCCGAUGUUCCUUUAAUGACUCGGCGGGGAGCUUCUACUCGGGAAACCAAAGCUUUUGGGUUCCGGGGGAAGUAUGGUUGCAAAGCUGAAACUUAAAGGAAUUGACGGAAGGGCACCACCAGGAGUGGAGCCUGCGGCUUAAUUUGACUCAACACGGGAAACCUCACCAGGCCAGGACAUUGGAAGGAUUGACAGAUUGAUAGCUCUUUCUUGAUUCAGUGGGUAGUGGUGCAUGGCCGUUC